GUGAAUCAUCAAAUCUUUGAACGCAAAUUGCACUCUCCGGUAUUCCGGAGAGCAUGCCUGUUUGAGGGUCAGUUCAACUCACAAUCGGUGUGGUUGCUGCCUUUCGUGGUGGCGUACCGGUUUUGGGUCGUCUUGCCUUCGGUUUAGUGAUCUAAUAUUUUGCAUGAUUUUUUCGAACGUAUUUAAAUGAUUUUACGUACGUUUGCGAUAUCGAAUACUAGGUGUGGUCAUCCUCAUGAUUCGCGGCUAU
This 250-nucleotide unclassified non-coding RNA is filed under the name Glomus sp. RNAcentral describes it as "partial contains 5.8S ribosomal RNA and internal transcribed spacer 2". The stretch from base 1 to 71 matches the Rfam family "5.8S ribosomal RNA", at positions 84 to 154 of the family's 154-position model. The record is from RNAcentral. Lineage: Eukaryota; Fungi; Glomeromycota; Glomeromycetes; Glomerales; Glomeraceae.